This is a long non-coding RNA of Gambusia affinis (western mosquitofish), 749 nucleotides long. RefSeq lists it as uncharacterized. The record is from RefSeq and is a predicted model, not a curated record. The transcript is spliced from 3 exons. Lineage: Eukaryota; Metazoa; Chordata; Actinopteri; Cyprinodontiformes; Poeciliidae.
ACAAAAUGUGAUGCCAGGCUGUUAAUCUUCUCAUGCAAUCCUGUUUCUGGAGCGACUUUGUACCUCAGACUGAUGACCAAUGCCACUGGUUAUGUGCUGGUGUUUUCAAAGAUUCUCCCCAGUGAGCAUUUAAAAGUGUUCAUUGUGAAGAACGGAACGGUGAAAAUACGUGAGUCCUACAGGAACAGAGUCGAGUUUUCCAUCGACACCGGCACGCUCAAGAUCACUGAUCUACAGGUGGACGAUGCAGGCCAGUACAGUUUUGAUGUCUACACUCCAAUUGGCUUGAUUGUGCAAAAGCUCAGUUUCACCCUCAAUGUCGGAGGGAAAAAAUCCAAUAUGAUAUCCAUCAAAAUAUCAAUCUUUCCAGUGGUGGGUGUUCUCAUUUUGAUUUUGGUUGGCUGUGUGGUUUAGAAGAGGAAGCCCUGCAGGAAGACAGGUUACCAGACGUUACACUGAAAACUGAGACCAUCAUAUUAAACUUCAACAUUCAUGACCUGGAAACCAAAAUCAUCUGUUGUUUGAACUCUUAGCAGCUGAGGAAGACAUUGCUUAAAUAUAGAUUAAAAAUUAUGAUUAAGUCUGAUAAUUAAGCGCAACUACUUUUUGGUCAAGUCUAACCUUUUAUUUGCUUUAUGAUGUGCUUUUAAGAUUGCUGAUACAAUCGUUAUUGUGUUACGCAUUAUUAAUGUACUCCUCUUUUCUCGUUUUAUUUCUAACAGCUGUUGCUUGUUCAUUUUUGGUUUUUG